This 239-nucleotide unclassified non-coding RNA is filed under the name fungal sp. RNAcentral describes it as "partial internal transcribed spacer region". The stretch from base 1 to 46 matches the Rfam family "Eukaryotic small subunit ribosomal RNA", at positions 1786 to 1831 of the family's 1831-position model. Lineage: Eukaryota; Fungi. RNAcentral also lists the same sequence under 1 other name. The record is from RNAcentral.
AAGUCGUAACAAGGUCUCCGUUGGUGAACCAGCGGAGGGAUCAUUACCGAGUUUACAAACUCCCAAACCCUUUGUGAACCUUACCUAUCGUUGCUUCGGCGGGAUCGCCCCGGCGCCUUCGGGCCCGGAACCAGGCGCCCGCCGGAGGCCCCAAACUCUUAUGUCUUUAGUGGUUUUCUCCUCUGAGUGACACAUAAACAAAUAAAUAAAAACUUUCAACAACGGAUCUCUUGGUUCUG